RNAcentral lists this long non-coding RNA (740 nucleotides) under Felis catus (domestic cat). RNAcentral's name for it is "lncRNA (ENSFCAG00000048442.1)". Lineage: Eukaryota; Metazoa; Chordata; Mammalia; Carnivora; Felidae. The record is from RNAcentral.
UUUUACUUCUAGAAACGUAGUCAUGCUUGCUUAUAUGCAAAAUCAAGUAUUCACCAUAUCUAUCCCGCUAUGAUGUCAUCUUCAAGGCUUCUCCUAAGACUUCCAUUUGGGUGAAGAAAACACAUCUUAUGAGUCACCGUUGGAUGUUCUCUGCCCGAUCAUCAACUCCUCUUCAUGGAGGCUGAGGAGCUAUCUGACUGGUACUCUGGAAAGAAUAACGUGGACGAGCUGAGCUGAGCCUGGCUCUCCUAUUUCCUUUUGGGAGUGACCUGUCUACUGAGAGUCUGAGAUUUCCUCUACUCCUCAAGCCCUGAGCCUUAAUUUGACAUCCCCCCAGCGUGUGGACACCUGCCCCAGCCCAGAGUGGCCUGAGACUGAGCAACCCGUCUGCCUCCUUCUGGGGCUCAGGUGGAAGCCCAGUUUAUCUCUCAUUCCACUCUGUCGUCUCACCUGGCUUCCCUCGGGAACAAAGGAAACGGCAACUGGGAUCAGACAAUGGGAUUUUGAAGGAAAACACGAGAGGCUGAUAUUUCAGUUGUGACACGGGACCUUGGGACAAUCUUCUACGUUUCCUCACCGCAGAGGGGCCAGCCAUCUCUCGAAGCCCUUCAGCACCGGCUCGUCUUCUCUGAAACUUCAAGAUGGAGUGAGUAAAAAAAUGGCAGUUUCAGAGUUAGCUGGGUGUCAGACUCCAGUGCCCCCGCGUCCUGACUCAUGACCUUGAGUACGUUAACGUCUCC